RNAcentral lists this ribosomal RNA (381 nucleotides) under Triticum aestivum (bread wheat). RNAcentral's name for it is "partial small subunit ribosomal RNA". The record is from RNAcentral. Lineage: Eukaryota; Viridiplantae; Streptophyta; Magnoliopsida; Poales; Poaceae.
AUGACCCGGAUAUCGUGCCUCGACCUUGCCGGAUUGAUAGGGGGCGGCCAGAGCGUGCCACGACCCGCCGUCCGUCUUGUCCUUCGAACCGGCAGGGCCUCGAGCCGUUUUCACCAUCACGGACGCGCUUCCGAGGCGUCGGCCCUGAUUCGCCACCUCGGGCCGGCCCUACCCCGCCGCCGGGUCACAUCCUCAAAUCGCCCCGCUGACCCGCCGGCUGGUGCAGUCGCCACGCGCCUUCACCAAGCGCCUGCGCUCGCAUCCGAACCACCCCUGCGACCUGCAAUGCCGCACCUUGGAUUCGCCUCCUCCGUCGCCGUAAGUCACCACGGCCGAGAGGCCCCGCAGCCCCCGCUUCGUCGCUGCCUCGCGCAGAUGUGA